This 253-nucleotide ribosomal RNA is filed under the name uncultured bacterium. RNAcentral describes it as "partial 16S ribosomal RNA". It matches the Rfam family "Bacterial small subunit ribosomal RNA", at positions 524 to 776 of the family's 1533-position model. The record is from RNAcentral.
UACGGGGGGGGUAAGCGUUGUUCGGAAUUACUGGGCGUAAAGGGCUCGUAGGCGGCCAACUAAGUCAUACGUGAAAUCCCUCAGCUUAACUGGGGAACUGCGUGUGAUACUGGAUGGCUUGGAUUUGGGAGAGGGAUGCGGAAUUCCAGGUGUAGCGGUGAAAUGCGUAGAUAUCAGGAAGAACACCUAUGGCGAAAGCAGCUCUCUGGGACGGUACUGACGCUGAGACGCGAAAGCGUGGGGAGCGAACAGG